This 981-nucleotide long non-coding RNA is filed under the name Rattus norvegicus (Norway rat). RNAcentral's name for it is "long non-coding RNA NONRATT005489". The record is from RNAcentral. Lineage: Eukaryota; Metazoa; Chordata; Mammalia; Rodentia; Muridae.
UCCCCAGACUAGAGCCAUGGUGGGAGAACUCAGGGAGGGGCUAUAGUCUGGUCUAACUUACCAUGUCUGCCAUGGCCCCAACAGGAGACCCCUUCCCAGGGCAGCUCUGUACUCCUUCAAGGCUGCCCGGGCUCUGCUGGACCACAGAAAGGUGGAAUCCAGCCCAGCCAGCCUGGCCAUCUGUGAGAAGGCCAGUGGGUACCUGCGGGACAGCUUAGCCUCUACAUCAACUGCCAGUUCCAUUGACAAGGUGAGGGGUAGGGUGGGUUCCUGUCUAGGCCAGGAUCACAGCUACCCAUUCCCAGUUUCUUAGAGUUAGUACAAAAUAAUGCUGAGUGGACUUACCUCAGUUCUUGACGAAGGCGUGAGUCUUGGGGACAGUGGUCUCACUCUUUUGCCACCACCAGGAAGGAUGUGGAGAGUGGACUGGCAGGGCUCCUGUUGGGGGCCAUCGUCAGGAAGAGGGAGGGCUUGUAGCAUGUAGCCUAGAGAAGGUGGGCCUGUGACACACUGCACUUGCACUGCACGUCUGAGGUAGAGUGCUUCAGUGACGCAGCCUGGAGUCAGGCCCUGGCGCUGUGGACUUUCUGACUUUUCCAAUGCUAGAGCCUCCCAGGGGUGCAGGCCUUGAGAUAGCUUGGCCCUCAGCUAGGGAAAGGCUGAUUUCCAUAGAGAAAUUCCUCCCUCUGCCCUGCCUGCUAUCCCAGGCCAUGCAGCUGCUCCUGUGUGAUCUACUUCUUGUGGCCCGCACCAGCCUAUGGCGGCGCCAACAGUCAGCAGCUUCAGCCCAGGGAGCUCACGGUACCAGCAAUGGACCCCAGGCCUCUGCUCUGGAGCUGCGUGGUUUCCAACAUGACCUGAGCAGCCUGAGGCGCUUGGCACAGAGCUUCCGGCCUGCUAUGAGGAGGGUCUUCCUACAUGAGGCCACAGCUCGGCUGAUGGCAGGAGCAAGUCCUGCCCGGACACACCAGCUCCUGGACC